GGGUUGUGAGGUUAAGCGACUAAGCGUACACGGUGGAUGCCCUGGCAGUCAGAGGCGAUGAAGGGCGUGCUAAUCUGCGAUAAGCGCCGGUAAGGUGAUAUGAACCGUUAUAACCGGCGAUACCCGAAUGGGGAAACCCAGUGUGAUUCGUCACACUAUCAUUAACUGAAUCCAUAGGUUAAUGAGGCGAACCGGGGGAACUGAAACAUCUAAGUACCCCGAGGAAAAGAAAUCAACCGAGAUUCCCCCAGUAGCGGCGAGCGAACGGGGAGGAGCCCAGAGCCUGAAUCAGCAUGUGUGUUAGUGGAAGCGUCUGGAAAGGCGCGCGAUACAGGGUGACAGCCCCGUACACAAAAGCGCAUGUGCUGUGAGCUCGAUGAGUAGGGCGGGACACGUGGUAUCCUGUCUGAAUAUGGGGGGACCAUCCUCCAAGGCUAAAUACUCCUGACUGACCGAUAGUGAACCAGUACCGUGAGGGAAAGGCGAAAAGAACCCCGGCGAGGGGAGUGAAAAAGAACCUGAAACCGUGUACGUACAAGCAGUGGGAGCCCCACCACUAAGCCAGUGGUGAACUCCACAUACGCAUCCUUUGCUGAGGAUACGGUUAACGGAGCGAAAGCGACGUUCAACCGCAAAAGAAGCAGAGGGGGCUUAGUGGUGGGGUGACUGCGUACCUUUUGUAUAAUGGGUCAGCGACUUAUAUUCUGUAGCAAGGUUAACCGAAUAGGGGAGCCGGAGGGAAACCGAGUCUUAAUUGGGCGUUAAGUUGCAGGGUAUAGACCCGAAACCCGGUGAUCUAGCCAUGGGCAGGUUGAAGGUUGGGUAACACUAACUGGAGGACCGAACCGACUAAUGUUGAAAAAUUAGCGGAUGACCUGUGGCUGGGGGUGAAAGGCCAAUCAAACCGGGAGAUAGCUGGUUCUCCCCGAAAGCUAUUUAGGUAGCGCCUCGUGAAUUCAUCUCCGGGGGUAGAGCACUGUUUCGGCUAGGGGGCCAUCCCGGCUUACCAACCCGAUGCAAACUGCGAAUACCGGAGAAUGUUAUCACGGGAGACACACGGCGGGUGCUAACGUCCGUCGUGAAGAGGGAAACAACCCAGACCGCCAGCUAAGGUCCCAAAGUCAUGGUUAAGUGGGAAACGAUGUGGGAAGGCCCAGACAGCCAGGAUGUUGGCUUAGAAGCAGCCAUCAUUUAAAGAAAGCGUAAUAGCUCACUGGUCGAGUCGGCCUGCGCGGAAGAUGUAACGGGGCUAAACCAUGCACCGAAGCUGCGGCAGCGACACUGUGUGUUGUUGGGUAGGGGAGCGUUCUGUAAGCCUGUGAAGGUGUGUCGUGAGGCAUGCUGGAGGUAUCAGAAGUGCGAAUGCUGACAUAAGUAACGAUAAAGCGGGUGAAAAGCCCGCUCGCCGGAAGACCAAGGGUUCCUGUCCAACGUUAAUCGGGGCAGGGUGAGUCGACCCCUAAGGCGAGGCCGAAAGGCGUAGUCGAUGGGAAACGGGUUAAUAUUCCCGUACUUGGUGUUACUGCGAAGGGGGGACGGAGAAGGCUAUGUUGGCCGGGCGACGGUUGUCCCGGUUUAAGCGUGUAGGUGUGUGUUCCAGGUAAAUCCGGUUCACUUUAACACUGAGGCGUGACGACGAGGCACUACGGUGCUGAAGCAACAAAUGCCCUGCUUCCAGGAAAAGCCUCUAAGCAUCAGGUAACAUCAAAUCGUACCCCAAACCGACACAGGUGGUCAGGUAGAGAAUACCAAGGCGCUUGAGAGAACUCGGGUGAAGGAACUAGGCAAAAUGGUGCCGUAACUUCGGGAGAAGGCACGCUGACACGUAGGUGAAGUGAUUUACUCAUGGAGCUGAAGUCAGUCGAAGAUACCAGCUGGCUGCAACUGUUUAUUAAAAACACAGCACUGUGCAAACACGAAAGUGGACGUAUACGGUGUGACGCCUGCCCGGUGCCGGAAGGUUAAUUGAUGGGGUCAGCGCAAGCGAAGCUCCUGAUCGAAGCCCCGGUAAACGGCGGCCGUAACUAUAACGGUCCUAAGGUAGCGAAAUUCCUUGUCGGGUAAGUUCCGACCUGCACGAAUGGCGUAAUGAUGGCCAGGCUGUCUCCACCCGAGACUCAGUGAAAUUGAACUCGCUGUGAAGAUGCAGUGUACCCGCGGCAAGACGGAAAGACCCCGUGAACCUUUACUAUAGCUUGACACUGAACAUUGAGCCUUGAUGUGUAGGAUAGGUGGGAGGCUUUGAAGUGUGGACGCCAGUCUGCAUGGAGCCGACCUUGAAAUACCACCCUUUAAUGUUUGAUGUUCUAACGUGGACCCGUAAUCCGGGUUGCGGACAGUGUCUGGUGGGUAGUUUGACUGGGGCGGUCUCCUCCUAAAGAGUAACGGAGGAGCACGAAGGUUGGCUAAUCCUGGUCGGACAUCAGGAGGUUAGUGCAAUGGCAUAAGCCAGCUUGACUGCGAGCGUGACGGCGCGAGCAGGUGCGAAAGCAGGUCAUAGUGAUCCGGUGGUUCUGAAUGGAAGGGCCAUCGCUCAACGGAUAAAAGGUACUCCGGGGAUAACAGGCUGAUACCGCCCAAGAGUUCAUAUCGACGGCGGUGUUUGGCACCUCGAUGUCGGCUCAUCACAUCCUGGGGCUGAAGUAGGUCCCAAGGGUAUGGCUGUUCGCCAUUUAAAGUGGUACGCGAGCUGGGUUUAGAACGUCGUGAGACAGUUCGGUCCCUAUCUGCCGUGGGCGCUGGAGAACUGAGGGGGGCUGCUCCUAGUACGAGAGGACCGGAGUGGACGCAUCACUGGUGUUCGGGUUGUCAUGCCAAUGGCACUGCCCGGUAGCUAAAUGCGGAAGAGAUAAGUGCUGAAAGCAUCUAAGCACGAAACUUGCCCCGAGAUGAGUUCUCCCUGAGACUUAGAGUCUCCUGAAGGAACGUUGAAGACGACGACGUUGAUAGGCCGGGUGUGUAAGCGCAGCGAUGCGUUGAGCUAACCGGUACUAAUGAACCGUGAGGCUUAACCUUACAACGCCGAAG
Molecule: ribosomal RNA, 3027 nt
Filed under: Salmonella enterica subsp. enterica serovar Anatum
Lineage: Bacteria; Pseudomonadati; Pseudomonadota; Gammaproteobacteria; Enterobacterales; Enterobacteriaceae
Description: 23S ribosomal RNA
Rfam family: Bacterial large subunit ribosomal RNA
Source: RNAcentral